AUUGAACGUUGGCGGCAUGCCUUACACAUGCAAGUCGAACGGCAGCACGGGAGCAAUCCUGGUGGCGAGUGGCGAACGGGUGAGUAAAGUAUCGGAACGUGCCCAGUCGUGGGGGAUGACGUAGCGAAAGUUACGCUAAUACCGCAUACGAUCUAUGGAUGAAAGCGGGGGAUCGCAAGACCUCGCGCGAUUGGAGCGGCCGAUAUCAGAUUAGGUAGUUGGUGGGGUAAAGGCUCACCAAGCCGACGAUCUGUAGCUGGUCUGAGAGGACGACCAGCCACACUGGGACUGAGACACGGCCCAGACUCCUACGGGAGUCAGCAGUGGGGAAUUUUGGACAAUGGGCGAAAGCCUGAUCCAGCCAUGCCGCGUGCAGGAUGAAGGCCUUCGGGUUGUAAACUGCUUUUGUACGGAACGAAAAGGUUUGGCCUAAUAAGCUGAGCUCAUGACGGUACCGUAAGAAUAAGCACCGGCUAACUACGUGCCAGCCGCCGCCGUAA
This 500-nucleotide ribosomal RNA is filed under the name uncultured bacterium. RNAcentral's name for it is "partial 16S ribosomal RNA". It matches the Rfam family "Bacterial small subunit ribosomal RNA", at positions 30 to 523 of the family's 1533-position model. The record is from RNAcentral.